Molecule: non-coding RNA, 267 nt
Filed under: Ktedonobacter racemifer
Lineage: Bacteria; Bacillati; Chloroflexota; Ktedonobacteria; Ktedonobacterales; Ktedonobacteraceae
Description: T-box sequence
Rfam family: T-box leader
About the family: Uncharged tRNA acts as the effector for transcription antitermination of genes in the T-box leader family. T-boxes are found upstream of many aminoacyl-tRNA synthetase genes and some amino acid biosynthetic genes usually in Gram-positive bacteria.
Source: RNAcentral
AACAAGACGAAGAACGAGGAAAGUAAGAGACAUCGCGAUUACAGAGAGCUGGCGGUCGCUGCGAGCCAGCAUCAAGGUGUCGUCUGAAGCUCCCUUGUGAGUCGUAGUGGUGAAAGCUUCUCCUGGACAGAGGGGUGAGUAGUUGCUGCCGGUUGCCCCCGUUAGCGGGCCGGGUACAUCUAUACCCUUAAAGGCCGUCGUCGCGAGGCGACGGUGAAGCAUGGUGGUACCGCGAAAGUGGCCCUGAGCGCACUUUUCGCCCUGCGU